RNAcentral lists this ribosomal RNA (1116 nucleotides) under Drosophila biarmipes. RNAcentral's name for it is "eukaryotic LSU rRNA". It matches the Rfam family "Eukaryotic large subunit ribosomal RNA", at positions 1989 to 2903 of the family's 3401-position model. The record is from RNAcentral. Lineage: Eukaryota; Metazoa; Arthropoda; Insecta; Diptera; Drosophilidae.
AAUAACAUGGUUUAUGUGCUCGUUCUGGGUAAAUAGAGUUUCUAGCAUUUAUGUUAGUUACUUGUUCCCCGGAUAGUUUAGUUACGUAGCCAAUUGUGGAACUUUCUUGCUAAAAUUUUUAAGAAUACUAAUUGGGUUAAACCAAUUAGUUCUUAUUAAUUAUAACGAUUAUCAAUUAACAAUCAAUUCAGAACUGGCACGGACUUGGGGAAUCCGACUGUCUAAUUAAAACAAAGCAUUGUGAUGGCCCUAGCGGUGUUGACACAAUGUGAUUUCUGCCCAGUGCUCUGAAUGUCAAAGUGAAGAAAUUCAAGUAAGCGCGGGUCAACGGCGGGAGUAACUAUGACUCUCUUAAGGUAGCCAAAUGCCUCGUCAUCUAAUUAGUGACGCGCAUGAAUGGAUUAACGAGAUUCCUACUGUCCCUAUCUACUAUCUAGCGAAACCACAGCCAAGGGAAUGGGCUUGGAAUAAUUAGCGGGGAAAGAAGACCCUUUUGAGCUUGACUCUAAUCUGGCAGUGUAAGGAGACAUAAGAGGUGUAGAAUAAGUGGGAGAUAUUAGACCUCGGUUUGGUAUCGCCAAUGAAAUACUUACUUACUUGAUUAAAUGGAACGUGUAUCAUUUCCUAGCCAUUAUACGGAUAUAUUUAUUAUAUCUUAUGGUAUUGGGUUUUGAUGCAAGCUUCUUGAUCAAAGUAUCACGAGUUUGUUAUAUAAUCGCAAACAAAUUCUUUAAUAAAACGGUGCAUUUAUGUAUUUUUGAUUUGAAAAUUUGGUAUAACUCCAAUUACUCAGGUAUGAUCCAAUUCAAGGACAUUGCCAGGUAGGGAGUUUGACUGGGGGCGGUACAUCUCUCAAAUAAUAACGGAGGUGUCCCAAGGCCAGCUCAGUGCGGACAGAAACCACACAUAGAGCAAAAGGGCAAAUGCUGACUUGAUCUCGGUGUUCAGUACACACAGGGACAGCAAAAGCUCGGCCUAUCGAUCCUUUUGGUUUAAAGAGUUUUUAACAAGAGGUGCCAGAAAAGUUACCAUAGGGAUAACUGGCUUGUGGCGGCCAAACGUUCAUAGCGACGUCGCGUUUUUGAUCCUUCGAUGUCGGUCUCUUCCUAUCAUUGU